Molecule: ribosomal RNA, 283 nt
Filed under: uncultured bacterium
Lineage: Bacteria
Description: partial 16S ribosomal RNA
Rfam family: Bacterial small subunit ribosomal RNA
Source: RNAcentral
AAGCUUGCUUUCGUCCCGCCGGCGACCGGCGCACGGGUGAGUAACACGUAUGGAACCUGCCCGCAGCAGGGGGAUAAUCGGGGAAACCCCGUCUAAUACCGCGUAACGACCCGGAGGGGCAUCCCUUCGGGUCCAAAGGUUUACCGGCUGCGGAUGGCCAUGCGUCGCAUUAGCUUGUUGGCGGGGUAACGGCCCACCAAGGCGACGAUGCGUAGGGGUUCUGAGAGGAAGGUCCCCCACACUGGUACUGAGACACGGACCAGACUCCUACGGGAGGCAGCAG